AUCCAGGAAUAAGGAGUAAAAUGGAGUGGCUGAUUUCACAAAAUAUGUGAGUUUCCCUCUGAAAAAAAGCAGUUGUGAACCAGGAUGAGGAGGAGGAUUUUGAAAUGUUUCAACAGAAUGUGUUGCAAAAUCACACAAGAUAAACAGAUGCUCUCCUUUCACUUUCUUCCUUUGUAUAGUUUUUCUAGAGCACAGCAAGAUGAGAGGGUGCCUACCACUUCCCUUCCCCUCCGAUGUGGAACUGCGCAGAGGGAGGCAAAAGGCUAAUUUAAGGUCACAGAGCAUCCAGUGUCCCCAGGGGCUCAGUCUGAGCCCCCGCCUCACAGCCACUCAAGAAACCUGGGAUGGCCAGCUGGCAACCUCUGUUUCCCAACUGGAGAAACCAUCGAUUUGGCCGCAGACAAAAUCCUUAAGCCACGGGCGUUCAGAGGUUCAGGAACAGGAAGUAGCAGUGCAAGCAAAAACAGGCCACGUGACUGGCUCUGGGCGGCGACACCGCACGUCGCCGCCAGGCUCAGCCCCGGUCACUCCAUCGCUGCCCAUCGCUGACCUCGGUGCUGGCGCCGAGGGGGCCCGCGGAUGUAACGGAAGGCCCUCACCAGCUGGCCUGAACUCGGAACAAUUACCCCGAUGCCCAGGGUGGGCCUGACGAAGCCCUUCAAAGCAGAGCGGAGGCUUCCCUGUCCCAAGGAUGGCCACUGUGGUCCUCACCACGCAGCUCUGCCUGCUCUGAGCCUCCUCCCGUGACUGGUUUCUUGGGAGGGCUCACUACCUCCUCCCUUUUAGGGCCAAACUGAUAGACCACAUGUUGCUCAUCUGCUCGUCUCGGCUGAUGGGCACCUGGGCCGCCUCCCCUUUUUACGAAUAAUGCGGCUGUGAAUGCCUGUGGGGAAGCUUCUGUGCGACGUCUCUUCAGCUCUCACAGGUGAUGUCCAGGAGCUGAACUGCUGAGCUAACUUCUCGAGGUCCUGCCAAACCCUUUCUCAAAGCAGCCGCAUCACGUUACAGCCCCGCCAGGAACGUGAGCGUUCCCACGUCUCCCCAUCUUCACCAUCUCUAGGGCCGGGGCCCUGCGUCCAGCUCAAAAGGAAACUUCCCUUUUCCUCCUGACACCCUCCUAUCAAUUUUCCUUUGUCAUCAUUUCCAAGUUCCAGAGGCCACAGGAGCACAGCUCCCUCUGCGAAGGGGGCUCCCGCGGUGAACGCGGAGGAGCCGGCCGGUCCUCUCCAGAUGCCCCAGCCGAUCAGGGAGAGGACGUCCCCGCCGGCCUCCACGCCCCGCAGUCCGUCCAGCGUUCCUUGUCUGCCUGCUCGUCCCCCACGAGAUCAGAUUCAUGGGUCCUACCUGGGAAGAUUGUGGCCUGGCUGUAAGCAGCCCGAAACUUCUGCAAGCCACGUGUGUGAUAUUUUAGGAUCACACACUGAGACCUACAAACGAGACUGACCCCAAAGGGAUGCGACCCCCACAGCCUGCAGUGAAGCCUGUCUCACUGGCCCCACGGUUUCCCCUCAAAUCACGCCUUGGUUCUAGUCAAACAAUUUCCGUACAGCAUUAACUCUCCUGACCCAAAUUUCCUCCCCUCGUGUUCUUCUUUUCACCCAAUCUCAUUUUAAUUCGGGUGUCUCUUCAUUCUACUUAAAUUAAAACAUUUACAAGGUAUGACAGUCCAUUCCUCAUGGAGCCAAUAUUUUCCAUUAAGAAAAAUGAAAUAGCUCUAACUUAGUCUUAAUUUCUAUGCCUUAAAGAUGUGAAGGAUAAUUGCUUAUCCGUCUGAGUUGCUUAAUUUCACUAAACACCAGAUAUUAAAUGCUAUUUUGAGGCCCCCCCCAAAAAACUUCACUACUUCUUAAGAUCUAUUUUUGUUGGUAUAUUAGAAUCCAAAACGAGGAAACCAAAUUCUACCACAAACCUGAAGAAAAGUGACCUCAAACCGUCAGAGAUAACGUGUGAAAAUGCAGUAUAACGCUUUUUCAGACCCUGAAAACACUGAUGAGCAAAGGAUCAGCUCAUUGGCCUAUUCCAGUGACUUCCAGAAUUAAUAAUUAUUAAAAACACAAAGAGCAAAAUGGAGAAAAGUGCGUCAUCAUGUUUCAGGUUUACCCACCCACGUGCACGUCCCUGGAUUGCUCUUGAAAUUUGGCCCCAAAUUGAAUUUAUUGCAUAGAAUAACACCGAAUGUUUACCAAGUCUCUUUUAUGUCUCCCAGGGACUGAAGUUUCAAAUCACAUGGUGCUUUUUUUUAAGCACUUGAGGUCAAGCAGGAAGAGAUUCCUUUUACGUUGGAAAGGAAUCAAGGCAUUCAGGGCAGAUUUGAGUCAUCUUUCAUUGCUAAGCACUCCUCAGACAUUUGUUAAGUGUAAGCCCCUAAUUUGGCAAAGAAAUCCAGGCCCCCAGCACCGAGGCUUCGCCCGCCUGGGCUGUCACAGAGGCAGCGGGUCUGCCCCAAAGCCGGGAGGGGCUGCUGCCUUCCCAGACCUUUGACCUUCCUGUACCCCAAACUCCCGCUCCUCAGUGAGGAAGUUAAAGAGAAGAAAAAAAUAUUUCAAACUCAGUCACAAGUGUGCCUGGUCACCAUGAAGGCAGACUUUGUUCCCAACUUUAAAAGCUAAUUCUUCUUCUCGAGAUUAGUGCUGGACUCCGUCCUUCUGGGAAAAAAAGAGAACGCUCUAAGCCCCCGAAAACGAGCUUUCACCUGAUCCUAAUUUUCUUCUUAGUUAGAAAGGCUAUUGUUUGUUUGAACAAAGAGAAAUCGGAGCUAUUAGUGGCUGUUUACAUUGUAGGAAUGAGGGCACAGGGUGGGGGGGGAUGUCUUCAUUAAGGAGCUGGGGAUGUGAUGACUGAAACUGAAGGCAGUUUCCCCCGUAUUUUAUAUUCCCCCCACCCAACCAAGAGGCUAUAUUUGUCCUCUGUUAUUUUCGGUAGAUCUAGGUUUAGUGUUAAAAUUUAGAUUAAACACAUAUUAAAUGAAGUAAAU
Molecule: non-coding RNA, 2974 nt
Organism: Vicugna pacos (alpaca)
Lineage: Eukaryota; Metazoa; Chordata; Mammalia; Artiodactyla; Camelidae
Source: RefSeq, a predicted model, not a curated record